CCUACGGGAUGCACCAGUGGGGAAUAUUGCACAAUGGGCGCAAGCCUGAUGCAGCCAUGCCGCGUGUGUGAAGAAGGCCUUCGGGUUGUAAAGCACUUUCAGCGGGGAGGAAGGCGGUGAGGUUAAUAACCUCAUCGAUUGACGUUACCCGCAGAAGAAGCACCGGCUAACUCCGUGCCAGCAGCCGCGGUAAUACGGAGGGUGCGAGCGUUAAUCGGAAUUACUGGGCGUAAAGCGCACGCAGGCGGUCUGUCAAGUCGGAUGUGAAAUCCCCGGGCUCAACCUGGGAACUGCAUUCGAGACUGGCAGGCUAGAGUCUUGUAGAGGGGGGUAGAAUUUCAGGUGUAGCGGUGAAAUGCGUAGAGAUCUGAAGGAAUACCAGUGGCGAAGGCGGCCCCCUGGACAAAGACUGACGCUCAGAUGCGAAAGCGUGGGGAGCAAACAGGAUUAGAUACCCGGGUAGUC
Molecule: ribosomal RNA, 465 nt
Filed under: uncultured bacterium
Lineage: Bacteria
Description: bacterial SSU rRNA
Rfam family: Bacterial small subunit ribosomal RNA
Source: RNAcentral